Molecule: ribosomal RNA, 430 nt
Filed under: Acidobacteriota bacterium
Lineage: Bacteria; Pseudomonadati; Acidobacteriota
Description: Acidobacteria bacterium partial 16S ribosomal RNA
Rfam family: Bacterial small subunit ribosomal RNA
Source: RNAcentral
UGGGGAAUAUUGGACAAUGGGCGCAAGCCUGAUCCAGCCAUGCCGCGGGUGUGAAGAAGGCCUUUUGGUUGUAAAGCACUUUAAGCGAGGAGGAGGCUACCUGGAUUAAUACUCUAGGAUAGUGGACGUUACUCGCAGAAUAAGCACCGGCUAACUCUGUGCCAGCAGCCGCGGUAAUACAGAGGGUGCGAGCGUUAAUCGGAUUUACUGGGCGUAAAGCGUGCGUAGGCGGCUUCUUAAGUCGGAUGUGAAAUCCCUGAGCUUAACUUAGGAAUUGCAUUCGAUACUGGGAAGCUAGAGUAUGGGAGAGGAUGGUAGAAUUCCAGGUGUAGCGGUGAAAUGCGUAGAGAUCUGGAGGAAUACCGAUGGCGAAGGCAGCCAUCUGGCCUAAUACUGACGCUGAGGUACGAAAGCAUGGGGAGCAAACAGG